AACAGAGGAUGCAAGCGUUAUCCGGAAUUAUUGGGCGUAAAGUGUCUGUAGGUGGCAAUUCAAGUCUGCUGUUAAAGGUCAGGGCUCAACCCUGAACAGGCAGUGGAAACUGAAUAGCUAGAGUGCGGUAGGGGCAGAGGGAAUUCCCAGUGUAGCGGUGAAAUGCGUAGAGAUUGGGAAGAACACCGGUGGCGAAAGCGCUCUGCUAGGCCGUAACUGACACUCAUGGACGAAAGCUAGGGGAGCGAAUGGG
This 253-nucleotide ribosomal RNA is filed under the name uncultured bacterium. RNAcentral describes it as "partial 16S ribosomal RNA". It matches the Rfam family "Bacterial small subunit ribosomal RNA", at positions 524 to 776 of the family's 1533-position model. The record is from RNAcentral.